RNAcentral lists this ribosomal RNA (220 nucleotides) under uncultured bacterium. Its description in RNAcentral is "partial 16S ribosomal RNA". It matches the Rfam family "Bacterial small subunit ribosomal RNA", at positions 15 to 217 of the family's 1533-position model. The record is from RNAcentral.
GAUCCUGGCUCAGGACGAACGCUGGCGGCGUGCUUGACACAUGCAAGUCGAACGGAGCACCCUUGAUUGAGGUUUCGGCCAAAUGAUAGGAAUGCUUAGUGGCGGACUGGUGAGUAACGCGUGAGGAACCUGCCUUUCAGAGGGGGACAACAGUUGGAAAUGACUGCUAAUACCGCAUGACGCAUUUUGAUCGCAUGGUCGAAAUGCCAAAGAUUUAUCG